RNAcentral lists this non-coding RNA (223 nucleotides) under Staphylococcus pseudintermedius. RNAcentral describes it as "T-box sequence". It matches the Rfam family "T-box leader". From Rfam's summary of the family: Uncharged tRNA acts as the effector for transcription antitermination of genes in the T-box leader family. T-boxes are found upstream of many aminoacyl-tRNA synthetase genes and some amino acid biosynthetic genes usually in Gram-positive bacteria. Lineage: Bacteria; Bacillati; Bacillota; Bacilli; Caryophanales; Staphylococcaceae. The record is from RNAcentral.
UUAAAAAUAGUGUUAGGGAAGAGUAUGUUAUUCGCUUUUUAUAGAGAGUGCAUGGGAGCUGGAAAUGCAUAAAAGUUAUAACUGAAGGUAGCCCGUUUUGAACUUUAAUUGAACUUAGAGUAGGUUAAAGCGUGUCAUGAGCGUUAAUCAUAAGAGAGCAGUAGUGUAGAGAUUUGUUUGCACUAUUGAAUAUAGGUGGUACCGCGGAACAUCCGUCCUAUUU